This 214-nucleotide unclassified non-coding RNA is filed under the name soil metagenome. RNAcentral describes it as "partial contains 5.8S ribosomal RNA, internal transcribed spacer 2, and large subunit ribosomal RNA". The record is from RNAcentral.
AACUGAUACUACCUGCGGGAACCUGCGGAGGGAUCAUUACAGAGUUGAAAAACUCCCAAACCCUUGUGAACAUACCUAACGUUGCUUCGGCGGUGCGGCCCUAGGCCGCUGCCUCCCCGUGAGGCGCCCGCCGGAGGUUUACAAACUCUAUGUAUUAUUUUGUUUUCUCUGAGUUGUCUUUUAAAUAAGUCAAAACUUUUAACAAUGGAUCUCU